UCGCGUCAAGCGCCGUAGGCAGGAGCGGGGGACCCAAGGUAAGUGCCGGGUCCGGCAGUUGAGAGGCCUUCGGGCCAUCGACGCCGGGACCGGCUUGGGGUGGAGCCGCGUCGUCCGAGAGGGGGACGCGGCCGGGCAACUCAACCGGCCCGAACCCGACAGCUCACCUCGCAGGCGUCGGUGAGGGGAUCG
This 192-nucleotide small RNA is filed under the name Streptomyces longwoodensis. RNAcentral's name for it is "c-di-AMP sequence". It matches the Rfam family "c-di-AMP riboswitch aptamer (ydaO/yuaA leader)". From Rfam's summary of the family: This family represents a conserved RNA structure found upstream of the ydaO and yuaA genes in Bacillus subtilis and related genes in other bacteria. The ydaO/yuaA element is thought to act as a genetic "off" switch for the ydaO and yuaA genes in its native state. Lineage: Bacteria; Bacillati; Actinomycetota; Actinomycetes; Kitasatosporales; Streptomycetaceae. The record is from Rfam by way of RNAcentral.